This is a small nuclear RNA of Dermochelys coriacea (leatherback sea turtle), 157 nucleotides long. RefSeq annotates it as U1 spliceosomal RNA. The record is from RefSeq and is a predicted model, not a curated record. Lineage: Eukaryota; Metazoa; Chordata; Testudines; Dermochelyidae. The transcript has a single exon.
GGCAGCGGCGAGACCAUGACCAGGAAGGUGGUUUCCCCAGGGCGAGGCUCAGCCAUUGCGCUGCGGGGGUGCUGACCCCAGCCAUUGCCCCGGAGGCGGGAAACUCGGCUGCGUCAUUGGUGGCAGCGGCCUGUUGUUGUUGUUUUUAUUUCACCGC